RNAcentral lists this ribosomal RNA (175 nucleotides) under Lactobacillus delbrueckii. RNAcentral describes it as "partial 16S ribosomal RNA". It matches the Rfam family "Bacterial small subunit ribosomal RNA", at positions 1195 to 1369 of the family's 1533-position model. Lineage: Bacteria; Bacillati; Bacillota; Bacilli; Lactobacillales; Lactobacillaceae. The record is from RNAcentral.
AUGCCCCUUAUGACCUGGGCUACACACGUGCUACAAUGGGCAGUACAACGAGAAGCAAACCCGCGAGGGUAAGCGGAUCUCUUAAAGCUGCUCUCAGUUCGGACUGCAGGCUGCAACUCGCCUGCACGAAGCUGGAAUCGCUAGUAAUCGCGGAUCAGCACGCCGCGGUGAAUAC